RNAcentral lists this ribosomal RNA (467 nucleotides) under uncultured bacterium. Its description in RNAcentral is "partial 16S ribosomal RNA". It matches the Rfam family "Bacterial small subunit ribosomal RNA", at positions 28 to 507 of the family's 1533-position model. The record is from RNAcentral.
GACGAACGCUGGCGGCGUGCUUGACACAUGCAAGUCGAACGAUGACGACCGAGCUUGCUCGGUCUGAUUAGUGGCGAACGGGUGAGUAACACGUGAGCAACCUGCCCUUCACUCUGGGAUAACCUCGGGAAAUCGGGGCUAAUACCGGAUAUGAGCUCCUGUCGCAUGGCGGGUGUUGGAAAGUUUUUCGGUGAAGGAUGGGCUCGCGGCCUAUCAGUUUGUUGGUGAGGUAGUGGCUCACCAAGGCGAUGACGGGUAGCCGGCCUGAGGGGGCGACCGGCCACACUGGGACUGAGACACGGCCCAGACUCCUACGGGAGGCAGCAGUGGGGAAUAUUGCACAAUGGGCGAAAGCCUGAUGCAGCGACGCCGCGUGAGGGAUGACGGCCUUCGGGUUGUAAACCUCUUUCAGCAGGGAAGAAGCGAAAGUGACGGUACCUGCAGAAGAAGCGCCGGCUAACUACGUG